AGACGGAGGAGGCAAGCGUUGUCCGGAAUCAUUGGGCGUAAAGAGCGCGUAGGCGGUUUUCCAAGUCAUGUGUGAAAACUUCAGGCUCAACUUGAAGAUUGCAUAUGAAACUGGAAAGCUAGAGUACGGCAGAGGAAAGUGGAAUUCCUGGUGUAGCGGUGAAAUGCGCAGAUAUCAGGAAGAACACCGGUGGCGAAGGCGGCUUUCUAGGCCGUUACUGACGCCGAGGCGCGAAAGCUAGGGGAGCAAACAGGAUUAGAUACCCUGGUAGUCCUAGCCGUAAACGAUGGACACUAGGUGUGGGAAGUUAUCGACGCUUUCUGUGCCGAAGCUAACGCAUUAAGUGUCCCGCCUGGGGAGUACGGCCGCAAGGCUAAA
RNAcentral lists this ribosomal RNA (378 nucleotides) under uncultured bacterium. RNAcentral describes it as "bacterial SSU rRNA". It matches the Rfam family "Bacterial small subunit ribosomal RNA", at positions 523 to 898 of the family's 1533-position model. The record is from RNAcentral.